CGGGGUGUAGCGCAGUCCGGUUAGCGCGCCUGCUUCGGGAGCAGGAGGUCGGAGGUUCAAAUCCUCUCACCCCGACCA
This 78-nucleotide transfer RNA is filed under the name bacterium. Its description in RNAcentral is "tRNA-Pro". It matches the Rfam family "tRNA". Rfam says of the family: Transfer RNA (tRNA) molecules are approximately 80 nucleotides in length. Their secondary structure includes four short double-helical elements and three loops (D, anti-codon, and T loops). Further hydrogen bonds mediate the characteristic L-shaped molecular structure. tRNAs have two regions of fundamental functional importance: the anti-codon, which is responsible for specific mRNA codon recognition, and the 3' end, to which the tRNAs corresponding amino acid is attached (by aminoacyl-tRNA synthetases). tRNAs cope with the degeneracy of the genetic code in two manners: having more than one tRNA (with a specific anti-codon) for a particular amino acid; and 'wobble' base-pairing, i.e. permitting non-standard base-pairing at the 3rd anti-codon position. RNAcentral also lists the same sequence under 2 other names. The record is from RNAcentral.